GACAGAGGGUGCAAACGUUGCUCGGAAUUACUGGGCGUAAAGCGCGUGUAGGUGGAUUGGUGUGUCAGAUGUGAAAGCCCUGGGCUCAACCCAGGAACUGCACCUGAAACUACCAGUCUUGAGUGGUGGAGAGGGAAGUGGAAUUCCUGGUGUAGCGGUGAAAUGCGCAGAUAUCAGGAGGAACACCAAUUGCGAAGGCAGCUCGCUGGGACGUUACUGACGCUGAGACGCGAAAGCGUGGGGAGCAAACAGG
RNAcentral lists this ribosomal RNA (253 nucleotides) under uncultured bacterium. RNAcentral's name for it is "partial 16S ribosomal RNA". It matches the Rfam family "Bacterial small subunit ribosomal RNA", at positions 524 to 776 of the family's 1533-position model. The record is from RNAcentral.